RNAcentral lists this ribosomal RNA (750 nucleotides) under Pseudomonas aeruginosa. RNAcentral describes it as "bacterial SSU rRNA". It matches the Rfam family "Bacterial small subunit ribosomal RNA", at positions 50 to 795 of the family's 1533-position model. Lineage: Bacteria; Pseudomonadati; Pseudomonadota; Gammaproteobacteria; Pseudomonadales; Pseudomonadaceae. The record is from RNAcentral.
AACACAUGCAAGUCGAGCGGCAGCGGGUCCUUCGGGAUGCCGGCGAGCGGCGGACGGGUGAGUAAAGCCUAGGAAUCUGCCUGAUAGUGGGGGAUAACGUUCGGAAACGGACGCUAAUACCGCAUACGUCCUACGGGAGAAAGUGGGGGAUCUUCGGACCUCACGCUAACAGAUGAGCCUAGGUCGGAUUAGCUAGUUGGUGGGGUAAAGGCUCACCAAGGCGACGAUCCGUAACUGGUCUGAGAGGAUGAUCAGUCACACUGGAACUGAGACACGGUCCAGACUCCUACGGGAGGCAGCAGUGGGGAAUAUUGGACAAUGGGCGAAAGCCUGAUCCAGCCAUGCCGCGUGUGUGAAGAAGGUCUUCGGAUUGUAAAGCACUUUAAGUUGGGAGGAAGGGUACUUUCCUAAUACGAGAGUAUUUUGACGUUACCGACAGAAUAAGCACCGGCUAACUUCGUGCCAGCAGCCGCGGUAAUACGAAGGGUGCAAGCGUUAAUCGGAAUUACUGGGCGUAAAGCGCGCGUAGGUGGUUCGGUAAGAUGGAAGUGAAAGCCCCGGGCUCAACCUGGGAAUUGCUUUCAUAACUGCCGAACUAGAGUACGGUAGAGGGUGGUGGAAUUUCCUGUGUAGCGGUGAAAUGCGUAGAUAUAGGAAGGAACACCAGUGGCGAAGGCGACCACCUGGACUGAUACUGACACUGAGGUGCGAAAGCGUGGGGAGCAAACAGGAUUAGAUACCCUGGUAGUC